UGAGGAAUCUUGCGCAAUGGGGGAAACCCUGACGCAGCAACGCCGCGUGAGUGAGGAAGGUCUUCGGAUCGUAAAGCUCUGUCGGGUGGAAAGAAAUGUAUGGGGUUAAUAGCCUUCAUACUUGACGGUACCACCAAAGGAAGCACCGGCUAACUCCGUGCCAGCAGCCGCGGUAAUACGGGGGUGCAAGCGUUGUUCGGAAUUAUUGGGCGUAAAGAGCGUGUAGGCGGCUUGGCAAGUCAGAUGUGAAAGCCCUGGGCUUAACCCAGGAAGUGCAUUUGAAACUGCCUAGCUUGAGUAGGGGAGAGGGAAGUGGAAUUCCUGGUGUGGAGGUGAAAUUCGUAGAUAUUAGGAGGAACACCGGUGGCGAAGGCGACUUCCUGGCCCUAUACUGACGCUGAGACGCGAGAGCGUGGGUAGCAAACAG
Molecule: ribosomal RNA, 427 nt
Filed under: uncultured bacterium
Lineage: Bacteria
Description: bacterial SSU rRNA
Rfam family: Bacterial small subunit ribosomal RNA
Source: RNAcentral